CCGGAUAAGUCUUUACGGAGAAAGCUUUAUGCACCAUUGGAUGAGCCUGCACUUGAUUAGUUUGUUGGUGGGGUAAUGGCCUACCAAGACUGUGAUCAAUAGCUGAUUUGAGAGGAUGAUCAGCCACAUUGGGACUGAGACACGGCCCAAACUCCUACGGGAGGCAGCAGUGGGGAAUCUUGCACAAUGGAGGAAACUCUGAUGCAGCGAUGCCGCGUGAGUGAAGAAGGCCCUUGGGCUGUAAAGCUCUUUCGUCG
This 257-nucleotide ribosomal RNA is filed under the name uncultured bacterium. Its description in RNAcentral is "partial 16S ribosomal RNA". It matches the Rfam family "Bacterial small subunit ribosomal RNA", at positions 169 to 441 of the family's 1533-position model. The record is from RNAcentral.